UCUGUGUGUUAGGACAGGAAGUCGGUUACACUUCGGCGCUUCAUCUUUCCUGACAUGAGCCAUUGUGCGCCAGGAAUCGGCGGCGCAGUCCUCUGGUGAAAUGAAUUUCUGGAUGAAAUCAGACCCGAAACGCUGAUUAUUUUUCAGCCAACAGGCUCGGGAUUUAAACGAGCAAUGCUCAUUAUUUUCGGAUGGUGCCCUUUUCGGAACGCUGUCUGUCAUUUACGUUUGAAACUCUUCCAGAAGUAAUGAGGAGCAGAAACCCCUCAGUCACGUUUCACACUCGGCCAGACGUACUAAAGAAUGAACUGUUCCAUGAAUUCCGUUUCCAAGGAUCACUAACGACGCUAUCAGCUUUGUAGCUCGGAGAUUCCACCAGGACCAACUGGAACAGGAUCAGCGCUCAAUGUUUCCACAGAUUUAAUACUCUAGCGUCAACUUUCCGAAUCACAGUGGCCUCAAGUGAGGCGCAGGACUCAUUAUUAUUAGAGGCACAGAAUUAUUAUUGAGUUCUCCCAGCUGAAGAGGGAAUGUGAGAGGCAGUUGGCUGAAAGGAUGGGACAAGCCGCAGGGAAGCGGGCCUUAUGCUAACAUCGACGCAGCUGAUGGGCCGAAUGACUGCUUAAUGAUCCUCAACUCCCGUGAUUUUAUUCUAGGUUGGGCAAUACCAGUACUGAUGGAAAUCAUUCACUUUUACAUCACGAAGAGUUUGUAAUAGAAGCCUCUGAAAAUG
Molecule: long non-coding RNA, 733 nt
Organism: Hemiscyllium ocellatum (epaulette shark)
Lineage: Eukaryota; Metazoa; Chordata; Chondrichthyes; Orectolobiformes; Hemiscylliidae
Exons: 3
Source: RefSeq, a predicted model, not a curated record